Molecule: long non-coding RNA, 758 nt
Filed under: Phoenix dactylifera (date palm)
Lineage: Eukaryota; Viridiplantae; Streptophyta; Magnoliopsida; Arecales; Arecaceae
Description: long non-coding RNA (PDAC_LNC011715)
Source: RNAcentral
AAAUCUUCUUACUUUGUUUAUUAAACUCCUUGUUGUAAGGUUUGUUGGUAAGCCCGUAAAACCAACAUUGUAGGUUGUUGGUAAGCCCGUAAAACCAACGUAGGUUGUUGGUAAGCCCGUAAAACCAACAUAGGUUGUUGGUAAGCCCGUAAAACCAACGUAGGUUGUUGGUCAACCCGCAAAACCAACAUAGGUUCGUUGGUGAGCCCGUAAAACCAACAUAGAUUUUUGGUGAACCCGGAAAACCAAAGUGUAAAGGUUUUUGGAUUGUGAGCCCGGAAAACAAUCCAACUGUAAUCCGCGGGAUUAUAGUGAAUUCCCAAGGGGUCGCUUGGGGAGUAGACGUAGGUGCUAAGGAGAGCACCGAACCACUAUACUUCUUGUUGUUUGUAUUGUGAUUUGUUUAAUUCUACUAACUCAUCAUUUAACAUAAGUAAGAUAGUUAAAAUUAAGAGAAACCAAUUCACCCUCCCCCCCCCUCUUGGCUUGUCACCUUGGGCAACAAGUGGUAUCAGAGCAAGGUGCUCCAAUAGUAAUUAUUGAUCUCACAAUCAAGAGUUAAAGAUCAUGACAACCCAAGUGGGAUGUUCUAUGAGUGAGGGACAAUUAAUUGAUAGACCUCCACUAUUUAAUGGUAUAAACUACACACAUUGGAAAGCACGCAUGCGCAUUUUCAUUCAAGCAUAUGACUAUGAUUUAUGGAGUAUCAUAGUCAAUGGGCUACAUACAAAUGCUAAUCAUGAUAAGAAAUGGCUCAG